AUUGAAAGGUAAUAGAACUUGACAACCAGAUCCAGACCAGACAAACACAACCUGGCAAACUGGUGUCAUAAGGUUACUGGCAGGUAUAAAUAAACACGAGGAAAAAUCUAAUAAAAAGAGAGCGAGCUGAUCAAGGGUUUGAAAAGAUAGAUAUUGCCAGAUGUUUACUGUCCAAGGAACAGGCCGUGGAAGCUUUAUUGCUGGCAAAAGUGUCCAUAACCAGAGGUUAUAUCAGCUGUUUUGGUCAACCCCUCCCACAUCUGAACUGACUGACACAGAGGGCACAGCAUGAUCAUAGGUGAGAUGUUACUUGGUCGGGUUAACAGGAAGUAUUAUUAAAAAUAUGCUUUAUAUUGAAAUACAGACAGAGAUGUAGCAGUCCCAGAGUUAAUGAUCCAAGGUCAGUUUUGCAUUUCACCGCCUGGUUAAGAUGACUGACCAUGUUAGAAUAAAAUAAAUAAGGCUUAAUCAUGUUCUCUCUCUAUCCAUCUGUCACUCGUCUGCAGAUAUAUUUUGAUGUGAGAGAGGAAGCCAGUCCCGUCAUCGCCAGCUCACCCGCUCUUAAGAUAUCUUUCGGGCCAAUUGGGGGCCCAAGGCUGGUCAGGACAAUUGUGAUGAACUGAGAGAAUGUUAGGGUAUCACUGUAAUUCAUGAGUCAUAUGCUGUCUGCCGCUGUUCUUACCUCUUUCCCUCUCUGUCUUCUACACCUCUCGCCCCACCUCAUCUUUCUUCCUCGUUUUAUAAUGCACACCACAUGUGCAUUGAAGUACAGAUUGAACUUGUAUUUAUAAUAUAGUAUUACAAUUAUCAUAAUUAUUAUGCAUUUAUGUAACUUUUUUCAAUAUAGCAUUUCACAUUCACCACUGUUUGAAAUUAAAUAUCUCAUUGAAAUAUUAUCCU
Oncorhynchus gorbuscha (pink salmon) is the source of this 900-nucleotide long non-coding RNA. RefSeq lists it as uncharacterized. NCBI's taxonomy places the organism in Eukaryota, Metazoa, Chordata, Actinopteri, Salmoniformes, Salmonidae. The record is from RefSeq and is a predicted model, not a curated record. The transcript is spliced from 3 exons.